AAAUAUGAAGCAAUUGAUUGCAUUUAGUUUCGACCUAAAAAUAUGGCUACAAGCCCUUAUUUA
This 63-nucleotide transfer RNA is filed under the name Clytra quadripunctata. RNAcentral's name for it is "tRNA-Arg". The record is from RNAcentral. Lineage: Eukaryota; Metazoa; Arthropoda; Insecta; Coleoptera; Chrysomelidae.